GAUGAAGAACCGCAGCGAAAUGCGAUAAGUAAUGCGAAUUGCAGAAUUCAGUGAGUCAUCGAAUCUUUGAACGCACAUUGCGCCCUGUGGUAUUCCGCAGGGCAUGCCUGUUCGAGCGUCAUUUCAACCCUCAAGCCCCGCUUGGUGUUGGGCCCCGCCCGCUGUGGCCGGCCCUAAAGACAGUGGCGGCGCCGCCUGGCCCUCAGCGUAGUACAUCUCUCGCUCCAGGGUCCGGUGGCCGCCUGCCAGAACCCCCCAACUCUGUGGUUGACCUCGGAUCAGGUAGGGAUACCCGCUGAACUUAAGCAUAUCAAUAAGCGGAGGA
This 325-nucleotide unclassified non-coding RNA is filed under the name soil metagenome. RNAcentral's name for it is "partial contains 5.8S ribosomal RNA, internal transcribed spacer 2, and large subunit ribosomal RNA". The stretch from base 1 to 121 matches the Rfam family "5.8S ribosomal RNA", at positions 35 to 154 of the family's 154-position model. The record is from RNAcentral.